RNAcentral lists this long non-coding RNA (245 nucleotides) under Vigna radiata. RNAcentral describes it as "long non-coding RNA (VRAD_LNC009818)". The record is from RNAcentral. Lineage: Eukaryota; Viridiplantae; Streptophyta; Magnoliopsida; Fabales; Fabaceae.
UAAAACUCACGAGCUACCUUCUGGUCCGCCCGGACCGUCCAUAUCCUCCCGUCGUCUGAAGGGUACUUCAAGGUUAAGUGGGGAGUGGAGACUAUGGCUUCAAAGGCAUUUAAACAUGGUCGCCCCAAUAACACAUUAUAUGAAGUCUCUGCUUCCACCAACAAAAACCUUACCCUCAGCCCCUUAGCCCUCUUUUCCGUCCCCAAGCUCAUCCUAAGAUUAACAGAACCUCUUGUAUCCACCCG